CUCUGCACAAGGUCACUGGAGAACAGGGGGGCAGUGGAGCUGAAGUGGAUUCCGAAAUGGUGAAUAACUACAGACGAGCCCGGACAUCCAGUUUGAUAUGCAGUAGAAGAGUCUACAAAAUAUCUGCAAAUAAUAGCUCCAUUUUUGAAAAAUGCAACUGUGGAUCAAACUAGAAUUAUUAGAGCUGUGAAUAAAAUAACAGAGAUUUUUCUGAAUGUGAAUUCCAGCUCAUGUGAGAAUGUAUUUGAACUCCUUCAAAUUAAUUUCCAGCUUCAACAAGAUAUUUCAAUUACAAAGGAUAUUACUUUGCUGAUCUGCUCGUUCUUU
Bufo gargarizans (Asiatic toad) is the source of this 327-nucleotide long non-coding RNA. RefSeq lists it as uncharacterized. Lineage: Eukaryota; Metazoa; Chordata; Amphibia; Anura; Bufonidae. The transcript is spliced from 3 exons. The record is from RefSeq and is a predicted model, not a curated record.